Molecule: long non-coding RNA, 4851 nt
Filed under: Homo sapiens (human)
Lineage: Eukaryota; Metazoa; Chordata; Mammalia; Primates; Hominidae
Description: HSALNT0265333
Source: RNAcentral
CUCCUUGGAGGCGUGACGGAAUGAUAGCUUUUUAAGGGAUGGCAGAGGGACUGGAGAGCUUACUUAAUUCUAUCUCUCUUCAUUUUACACAGAAGAAAACUGAGGCCCGUUAUAGGGGCAUGAUUUGCUCAAGGUCUCAGAACUGGUUGUUGGAAGAACCAGAAAUAGAAACCAGGUUUACUCAUUUUCAGCCUCGUGUUCUCCACCCCUCAUCCACCCCGAUUGUUGUUUAUAAGCAGUCGCUGUAUCACACCCAGCAGCAGUGAUGAGCUCAUACCCUUCCCUGGGCUGGCCCAAGGACACAAGCGGGCACAGGGCUGAGUUGCAGGAGCUUUUGUUACCCAGCACAGCGGUGGGGGCUGCUCAUGGUGUGCAGAGUGACUCCAACAACGAGGAAAGUGACCGGGGGAGCUGCCUGUCCUGAGCACAGGAACCGCAUCGGAGGGAACCCAAGCUAAGCCAGGAGUGUCUGUUCUAACACGUGCCAUUUGGGAUCCCUUGGAAUCUUCAUGUACAGAACUGGUUGCUGCCUCGUUGAGUCGGUGGGGACAGAAUAGCUCCUGGUUGACAGCAUGGGUUGUGCAGAAGGACGGAUCCUGCAGACAUCAAUAUCUGGCUUUGAGUGGCACAAAGAAAUAAAGGAAUGUGGAUUCAGACCUCACUGGGAUGCUUGGCAAUUCUAAUUCUACCCCAGACUGCAAAUGGACACACAACUGUUGUGACUUUUGUUGAAGAGGAGAAGGAUGGUGAAGGUCUCUUUAGUCAAUAAUCUCUUUGCUGAAAUUGCUUCGGGCAGCACAGAAGCUGGAUUCAGAAGCACACAGGUCUGGGGAUGCAGGCUUCGGCCAGCCUGAUGCAAGGAAAGACUGCCAUCUCGUGGUCAGCUCAAUCCUGGCACCUUGGUGAGGGACCAGGCUGCAGAAAACCAGGCUUGGGGAGGAAACGGUGCUGCAAACUGGAUUUCUGCCGGACAGUGUGGAUGCCCUUAGAAAACACCCAGAAAAGAGCUGAGUGCCCCCCAAGGUAGGCUUCAGUGAAUCCUCUGCAGGUGUGUUGUCAUCCCUUGAGCCAAACACAUGCUUCACACACACGCUGCAGGCUGCGUGAAAAUGAGGUAGAAAUGUGGGGAAAACAUAAUCCCAUGGAGAGAACAAAGAGCUGAACACGUAAAUGCCUCCGGCGUGCCUGGCAGAGAGAACACUCAGGCUGAGAGAAGGGACAGUGACUUGUACCAAAGGUAGGCAAGUAGCCUCUGGGGUCUCAAUCAGCAGGGCAUCUGGUCAACCCUUCAGACAAAGUCAGGUCUGAGCAGGCAAGAUCCAUGGAUCUGAUUUAUUAAUAUUUUUACAAUUAAAUAGAAUCUGAUUGUAAAACUGUUACAUGUGUUGUAAGAAAAAAAGAAAAAAAGGAAGGAUAUAGAAAUGUACAAAGAAGGAAAUAAAAGACUGGAAGCGUCCUCACCUUAGGGACCCAUUAUUAACGCUUAGGUGGCCAAUCUUCCAGACAUCUUGCUACGAAUAUAUUCAAACGGGAAUUAAAAAUGUACUUUUACACAAGUGCAAUCAGACCUUGUACUCCUCUAUCCCAUAACCUACUUUUUCAUUCAACACUAUGACAGAAGCGUCUUUCCAGGUCCAUAAAUAAAGGUAGGCCUCAUCGUUUUUUAUCAAUUACAUAAAGCUAAUGGUAUAUAAUACUGAUUUCAUACCUGCUAUAUGCCAGGCACAUACAUGGUCUUGCAUAAUCUCAUAAUGACUCUACAGAACGGGAGUUUGUAUUAUGCCCAUUAAGCAGAUGAACAGGCUGUGGCACAAGAAAAUUGAUCAGCACUGCCAGGGUAUCUGACCUCAGAGCCCAGGAUCUUGACUAGUAGGCUAGAAAUGAACAUAAUUUACUUACCAGUUUUCCAGUGAUGGACAUUAAGCCAUUUCCUACUUUUCUGGUAUAAAAAAUAAGAUUGCAGUGAAACUUUAGGGCAUAUACAUCUUUGCACGUUAGUGAGUUCUCUCUAAGUUAACCUGAAAGCGGUGGGCUGUGGAGUUUGUGGGUCAAAGUGUAUGCUCGAUUUAUGCUUUACUAUGUGCCCGACUUCCCUCCAGGCAGCAUGUGCCAGCUCACACUCCCAACAGCUGCGCAGGAGAAUUUCCAGUGCCCCACGACCUUGUCAAUACUAGGCUUCCUCAUCAGUUUUUUCUCUCCUUUAUUUUUCUUUAGGAAAAAAAAAACAGCCUUUGAAAAAAAUUGUACGAACAAGUGCAAUGUGUGCUUGUAAGUGCUUCACCAAAUGUAGAUCCACCCGGUGUUAACCUUUUGCCACAUCUGCUCUCUAUUAGUUUUUAUCACACUUUGGAAUUAUCUAUAGACAUCAUAACACUUGAUGCCUAAAUGCUUUGGUGUGUGUCUCUUAAGAACAAAGACACACCCUUACCUAAGCAUAAUAUAAUUGGUACACUUGGGAAUUGCUAAAAUACAUUGCUAAAAUACAGUUUUCUAAUACAGAAUCUAUAUCAAGUCAUUGAAUAAACACACUUCUUGACUUAAAAUGAGAUUACAUCCCAUAAACCCAUAAUAAGUUGAAAAAAUGUAAGUAAAAAUGCAUUUAAUACACUAAAUCUGCUGAAUAUUAUAACAAUUUUGCCUACAUUAAAUGUGCUCAGAACACUUACAUUAGCCUACGGUUGGAAAAAAUUAUCCAACACAAAGCCUAUUUUAUAAUAAAGUGUUAGAUAUCACAUGUAAUGUAUGGAAUACUGUACUGAAAGUGAAAAACAGAAUGGUUUUAUGGGUUCUCACAAUACGGUUUCCACUGAAUGCCUAUCACUUUUGCACCAUUGUAAAACUGAAGAAUUGUAAGUUGAACAAUUGUAAGUUGGGGACUGUCUGUACUUAACAGAUUUUUGUCUUGAUCCAGAAUGGAAUCAAGGGUCACAUAUUGAGUUUCGCAGUCAUGUCUCUUGAAUCCAGAACAGAUCUCCAGUCUUUUUGUGGUCUCUCAUGACAUUGGCAUUUUGAAGAGUUUUAUAGAGUGUACUUAGACCUGGAUUUACCUGAUUGAGCCUCAGGAUUAGAUUUAGCAUAAAUAUUGUUGGCAGGCAUAUUAUAUAGAUGCUGUUGCUUCCUUCUCAGGGCGUCAUAUCAGGAGGAACAACAAGAUGUCAAUUUGUCCACAAUUUGUGACAUUAACUUUGAUCACUCAGUUAAGUGAGUGUCUGCUAUAUUUCUCCAUUGGAAAUGUACCCUGAUCUUUUGUGAUUAUUAAGUGACCUACUGGGUGAUACUUUGAGACAGAAUAUCGUGCUUCCCAGCAAUCUCUUACCCAGUGAUUUUAGUAUCUAUUGAUCAUUCUUGCCUGGAUCAGUUGCUGUUUUGCCGGCUAUAAAGUGCUCUUUCAUUUCCCAUUCUUUCUACUUUUAAAAAAAGUUAUCACUCUUCUAUAAAGAAAAACUUCUUAUCCUAUCCCUCAACUUUUUUAGUAUCAGAUUGUACUCAAGGCUUCUUUCUCUAUCCAGUGUAUUUCUGUAACUAUCCAUUUUGACAGCCAGAUCAUCCCAAAUUUGGCAAGUGGCAGCCCCUUCAAGCUGGACCUGUGUCCUCUGAGCCCCUCUCUGCUCUCUGGCACGAGAUGCUCCAGGCUCAUCUUGCAUUUUCCUUGCCUCAGGCCUGGCAUCAGCCAUUUCUCCAGGAGCCCUCCCAUCUUUGUUUAUAUAUUUAUUAAUAUUUAAUCUCUCUUAUUAUUAUUAGUUUUAAAAUUUAUAUAAAAUAAAGUUGGCGUUUUUUGUGUAGUUGUAGGAAUCUUAAUAUAGGUAUAGGUUUGUGAAGCCACCACUGUAAUUGAGAUACAGAACAACUCCAAAUCAUCAAGUUACACACCUUAAAUAUAUACAAUUUUUAAUUGUCAGCUAUACCUCAGUAAAACUGGGGAGAAAAUAUACAGUUUCAUGCCCAGAAGCUACUUUGUGCUUCCUGUUUGUGGUCAAACACAUCCUUCAUCCCUGACAGCUGCUGACCUUAUCUCUGUCUUCAUAGUUUUACCUCUUCUAGAAUGUUACAAGAAUGAGAUCGCACAAUAUGCAGCCUUUUGAGUCUGGCUUCUACUUUCACUUAGCAUAAUGCCUUUGAGAUUCAGCUGUUGCAUGCAUCAAUAAUUCGUUCCUUUUUAUUGCUGAGUGGUAGAUAUUCCAUCAUGUGGAUGAACCACGGUUUGCUUAUCCAUUUACCCAUUAAGACAAAUGGGUUGUGUCCAGUUUUUGUUGAUUAAGAAUAGAGCUGCAUAAACAUUUAUGUAUAGGGUUUUCUUGCAUGAACGUAAGUUUUCAUUUCUCUUGGGUAGGUGCCUCGGAGUGGGAUUGCUGAGUCACACAGUAAGUGUAUGUUUCACUUUUUAAAAGCUGUCAAGCCUCUUCCAGAGCAGCCAAGCCAGUCUGCGUUUCCACCAGCAAUUUCUGAGAGUUCCAGUUGCUCUGCGUCCUUGCCAGUGCUUGGUAUUGCCAGGUUUUUUAUUUUUUAACCCAUUCUAAAAUAUGUUUAGUGCCCCCCAUUUUUUUUAUCUUUGUAAAUGUUAUAGGUGAAUUUUAAAAGUCAAUCUCAAUAUAUAUUGGCUGUUAAUAAUACUAUUAAUACCUAUUACUGUUAAUAAUGCUAAUAAGUAACUAUCAAAUCUCAUAGAUGAAAAAGAUGAUUUAUGAUCUUUAAAAUUUUGCAUUUUUAUUAUUAGGAAAGUCAGAAGGGCUCAAUUUUAAACAGAGAGAGAAGCGGAUAGAGAAGUGUGUUCUUGCCUGAAGGUGUCUUUCAUCUUGGGCUGCCUCUAUCUAUUUCUGGGAUCACUGGCGGCCCUUGUACUCCUAUCCUCAG